This 253-nucleotide ribosomal RNA is filed under the name uncultured bacterium. Its description in RNAcentral is "partial 16S ribosomal RNA". It matches the Rfam family "Bacterial small subunit ribosomal RNA", at positions 524 to 776 of the family's 1533-position model. The record is from RNAcentral.
UACGGGGGUGGCAAGCGUUGUUCGGAAUUACUGGGCGUAAAGGGCGCGUAGGCGGGGAGAUAAGUCGGGUGUGAAAUCCCUCGGCUCAACCGAGGAACUGCGCCCGAGACUGUCUUUCUUGAGUCCCGGAGAGGAAGGUGGAAUUCCCGGUGUAGCGGUGAAAUGUGUAGAGAUCGGGAGGAACACCGGUGGCGAAGGCGGCCUUCUGGACGGUGACUGACGCUGAGACGCGAAAGCGUGGGGAGCAAACAGG